UACGUAGGGGGCGAGCGUUAUCCGGAUUUACUGGGUGUAAAGGGAGCGUAGACGGUUCUGCAAGUCUGAAGUGAAAGCCCGUGGCUUAACCGCGGAACGGCUUUGGAAACUGUGGAACUGGAGUGCUGGAGAGGCAAGCGGAAUUCCUAGUGUAGCGGUGAAAUGCGUAGAUAUUAGGAGGAACACCAGUGGCGAAGGCGGCUUGCUGGACAGUAACUGAUGUUGAGGCUCGAAAGCGUGGGGAGCAAACAGG
This 253-nucleotide ribosomal RNA is filed under the name uncultured bacterium. RNAcentral's name for it is "partial 16S ribosomal RNA". It matches the Rfam family "Bacterial small subunit ribosomal RNA", at positions 524 to 776 of the family's 1533-position model. The record is from RNAcentral.